This 494-nucleotide ribosomal RNA is filed under the name uncultured bacterium. RNAcentral describes it as "partial 16S ribosomal RNA". It matches the Rfam family "Bacterial small subunit ribosomal RNA", at positions 28 to 507 of the family's 1533-position model. The record is from RNAcentral.
GGCGAACGCUGGCGGCGUGCUUAACACAUGCAAGUCGAACGGAAAGGCCUGCUUUCCCUUGUGGAUUGCGGGUACUCGAGUGGCGAACGGGUGAGUAACACGUGAGUGAUCUGCCCCCAACUUGGGUAUAAGCCUGGGAAACUGGGUCUAAUUCCCGAUAGGACUGCAGGGUGGUGCCUGUGGUGGAAAACGAUUUUCUAGUGGUUGGGGAUGGGCUCGCGGCCUAUCAGCUUGUUGGUGGGGUAAUGGCCUACCAAGGCGGCGACGGGUAGCCGGCCUGAGAGGGUGGACGGCCACAUUGGGACUGAGAUACGGCCCAGACUCCUACGGGAGGCAGCAGUGGGGAAUAUUGCACAAUGGGCGGAAGCCUGAUGCAGCGACGCCGCGUGGGGGAUGACGGCCUUCGGGUUGUAAACUCCUUUCGACCGCGAGGAAGCCACCUGGUUGGAAGGGUGGUGACGGUAGUGGUAGAAGAAGCACCGGCUAACUACGUG